This is a long non-coding RNA of Hippocampus zosterae (dwarf seahorse), 3400 nucleotides long. RefSeq lists it as uncharacterized. NCBI's taxonomy places the organism in Eukaryota, Metazoa, Chordata, Actinopteri, Syngnathiformes, Syngnathidae. The transcript has 3 exons. The record is from RefSeq and is a predicted model, not a curated record.
UUUUCGGUCUGGCCAGCAGGUGGCAUGAGCGGACUUCUGUGAACACCUGCUGCCAAUCUGUGAUUAGUAGCCUCAGUAUUUAAGGACUCCUCCGCCGUGCACCUGUUGUCGGAGUGUUGUUUAUUGCAUUGCUGUUUCUCUGCUCAUUGACUAGUUGGCUUUUGACCUCGUCGUGUUUCGCUGUGUAUUCUCGGCACCCAUGAUGUAGUAAGUAUUGGUUUUGUUUUGUGAUUGGGCUUUCUUGCGUGUAUUUGAGAUAUAUUGUUUUUUGUUUGUAUUCUCGGUCUUUAUUUUUCUUUUUGUAAUUCAUUUUAUUUACCCUGUGGUCCUUGUUUUGACCAGAGCUUUAUGUUCCCUCGUUAUCGGUGCGAUUUGUACAAUAUAUUUUUAUACGGUGACCUUGUUUUCGUCUACGAUUUAGAUUCCAAACCAAACUCGGCUUGUCCGAGACCUAACAGAAUACUCCGACCACUAUGGAUCCUGUAGAAAAUGAACAAGAUCAUGACUGCCUUGAGCAGCCAGGGGCAACUAGUGGGCCAGCAAAGACAAGAGCUCGCGCAGCUCCAGGAGGCAGUCACCAUGCUGGCUCUGCAGCUUGAAAUUUUGAGUUCCCGGAUGGAACAAAUGAGCCGCCGAGAAACGCCACCGUCAAGAUCCCCUACGGUUACAACCGAGAUACCAUCUUUCCCGAUCAUAGGGCGGGAGCCUAAUUUCCCACACCCCCCUCGUUAUGGUGGUGAACCGGGACUCUGCAAACAAUUUUUGCACCAGUGCUCUUUAAUUUUCGAUCAGCAACCUUCUGCUUACGAGACGGAUAGCACCAAGGCGGCGUCCUGGGCAGUGGAAAUAAGCAAUGCACAACCCGGGCUUCGGUCUUCCUUCCCUUCACAGAGUUUCGUUGCGUGUUCCAGCAUGCAGCAAGGGUGGUCGAAGGACGGCUAUUAGCGAUACGGCAAGGUAGACAAUCCGUUGCCGAAUAUUCCAUUUCAUUUCGUAUUCUGGCAGCCCGUACUGGUUACGGGGACCGCGCUCUGUGUGGGUUGUUUCGCCGCGGGUUGAAUGCAUCUUUGAAGGACGAACUGGCAACCCGCGAUGAUAGCACCAGUUUGGAGGAACUCAUUAAUCUGGCCCUGGCUGUGGACAACCGCAUGCGGGAGCGCGAGCGGGAAUGCGGGGACGAAUGGGGAGAUGCCUGUUUUCAUUCCCGACGUGCGGGUAGACGGCCGGCUGACCGCGAGUCCUGGCGACCGUCCGGACCCGAGCACCACCCCUGUUCCGGUCCAGCUGGCGCGGAGGAGGAGCCCAUGCAGCUGGGAGGCGGACGUUUGGGACCUGAGGAGAGACGGCGUCGGAUUCGGGACCAGGCCUGCUGCUACUGCGGCCAACCAGGACAUCGAGUUGCCGAAUGUUCCGUGACACCGGCCCGCCCGUCCAGGCGCCUCGAGAACUAGGUGGAUGCUUUGGAAUCAGGGGUCGAGGCGGUAUUAUCGCAGCGAUCGCCAGUCGACCAAAAACUCCACCCUUGCGCCUUCUUCUCUCGUCGUCUCAGUCCAGCCAAAGCCAACUACGACGUGGAAAACCGUGAACUGCUAGCAGUCGUUUUGGCACAACAAGAAUGGCGACAUUGGCUCGAAGGGACUGAAGAGCCGUUCACGUUUAUACCGAUCACAAGAACCUCGCAUACAUCAGCUCUGCCAAGAGACUAAACUCACGCCAAGCACGGUGGGCGCUUCUCUUUACUCGUUUCAAUUUGACACUUACCUACUGCACUGGCUCCAAGAACAUUCGACCUGAUGCUCUCUCCCGUAUCCAUGACCCCGCGGAGAGGAGCAACGAACCCCAGAGUAUUCUUCCCGACCAUUGUAUUGUGGGGGCCCUGAGGUGGGCCAUCGAACGUAGCGUCCAGGAGGCCCAGAACGGAAUCCAAGUCCCUGCGGGCUGUCCUGUAGGGAGGCUUUUUGUACCCCCACCUCUGCGCGCGGAGGUGUUACAGUGGGGGCACACAUCUAAGGGGGCGUGCCAUCCAGUGGUGAACCGGACCUUGGAGCUCGUCUCACAGCAGUUUUGGUGGCCGGAGCUACGGAAUGAUACACUGGACUAUAUCAAGGCCAGCUCCACCUGCUCUUGCAGUAAGGCAUCCCACCAACCACCGGCUGAGUUGCUGCAGCCUUUGCCUGUUCCGUCUCGACCAUGGUCCCACAUUUCCAUGGAUUUUGUCACAGGCCUGUCUCCUUCCCGGGGCAAGUCAGUCAUACUCACCGUGGUUGAUCGCUUCUCUAAAUCUGUUCAUUUUGUUGCCUUGUCCAAGCUGCCCUCUGUCCUGGAGACCGCCGACCUUCUCGUCAAACACGUCUUCCGUCUUCAUGGGAUUCCGGUAGACAUCGUGUCGAACCGGGGUCCUCAAUUCAUUUCCAGACUGUGGAAACGUUUCUGUCAUGCCAUGGGGGCCACUGGUAGUCUGUCCUCUGGUUACCUCCCGCAGUCCAACGGCCAAACGGAACGCAUGAACCAGGACUUGGAGGCAGCUCUGCGCUGUGUUUGUCUCCUUCGCCCCUCCUCGUGGUCGACUCACCUGCCUAGGGUGGAGUACACCCACAACACCCUCGUAUCAUCGGCCACCGGUCGGUCUCCUUUCAUGUCAGCUUAUGGUUAUCAACCUCCUCCGUUUCCUUCCCAGGAGGGUCAGGUGGAAGUCACGUCCACAAAGCUCCACCUGUGACGGGCCCAUCGGUUAUGGAGGGAGACCAGGGCAGCGCUAUCACACACUGCUAUGAGGAACCGGCAGAUCGCUGACCGCCGCCGACGCCCAGCACCGAGCUAUCAGGUUGGGCAGAAAGUGUGGCUGUCGACGAAGGAUCUGCAAAAAGCUGGUACUUCUCGCAAGUUGGGGCCUCGCUUCACUGGACCGUUCGUGGUGGAAUCGGUCAUCAGCCCCGUCUCCGUCAAGCUGCGACUGUUGCCCACCAUGAAGGUGCACCCCGUCUUCCACGUUUCCCCGUUGAAGCCAGUGGCCACCAGUCCCCUGGCUCCUCCUCCCACAUCGCUUCUUGUUGUGACCAGCGCUUUAUGUUCCCUCAUUAUCGGUGCGAUUUGUACAUUAAAAUAUAUUUUUAUACGGAGACCUUGUUUUCGUCUACGAUUUAGGAUCCAAACCAAACUCGCCUUGUCCGAGACCUAACAAAUACUCUCUGCACACUCUCAGAGGGCUCCACUGCCAACUGCUGUUGUGAAUGUGCAAUUACACUUUAUUUGAUUCUCUUCGGCAAAAAAAGCAUGUUUUUUGUUUUAAGUGCAAUAGUCUUGGUUUAACUCAGCAAAAAGCAUGUUUUUUGCUGAAGAAAAGCAUUUAUAUCAUGAUUUGCAGGUUUCAAUGCUAUUUUGCACAGAAUAAACAAUAAAA